Molecule: ribosomal RNA, 435 nt
Filed under: uncultured bacterium
Lineage: Bacteria
Description: partial 16S ribosomal RNA
Rfam family: Bacterial small subunit ribosomal RNA
Source: RNAcentral
AGCGAACGCUGGCGGCAGGCUUAACACAUGCAAGUCGAGCGGGCACUUUCGGGUGUCAGCGGCGGACGGGUGAGUAACGCGUGGGAACGUGCCCUCUGGUUCGGAAUAACUCAGGGAAACUUGAGCUAAUACCGGAUACGCCCUUUUGGGGAAAGGCUUGCUGCCGGAGGAUCGGCCCGCGUAUGAUUAGCUAGUUGGUGAGGUAACGGCUCACCAAGGCGACGAUCAGUAGCUGGUCUGAGAGGAUGAUCAGCCACACUGGGACUGAGACACGGCCCAGACUCCUACGGGAGGCAGCAGUGGGGAAUAUUGGACAAUGGGCGCAAGCCUGAUCCAGCCAUGCCGCGUGAGUGAUGAAGGCCUUAGGGUUGUAAAGCUCUUUUAUCCGGGACGAUAAUGACGGUACCGGAGGAAUAAGCCCCGGCUAACUUCGUG